Taeniopygia guttata (zebra finch) is the source of this 1299-nucleotide non-coding RNA. The record is from RefSeq and is a predicted model, not a curated record. NCBI's taxonomy places the organism in Eukaryota, Metazoa, Chordata, Aves, Passeriformes, Estrildidae.
UCUAACAUGAUGUAUACGUGUGUUGAGAAGUUGCUACAGGUUUGUCUAAAUCAUUAAUUGCUUUUAAAAAGCAAGAGAAUUUCAAGCUCUAGAUUUUUUUAGGCUCCUUCUCACUACUAAACCUUUAGCAGUCCCUUCUUUCUAUUAUUCAUGAUUUCUCCGCUGUUCUCGUAAGAGGUUCAUGAUGAUUUUUGAUUUUAGAAGACAGCGCUAUAAAAAGCAAUUAAAAAAGUCAAAAUAUCAAUAGACUUGUGAUAUAUAACCAAAAGACUUGGCAAUAUUUCAUAUUCCUUCAAAUUUAGUGUCUUCUUCUCAUGCACAGGUUUUCUCAGAUUUCUUUUGUGAGGAAGCAAGUCUGGAGCUUCAAUUUUGCUGGGCAUAAUAUAACAGAAAGAAGAGAGGAACAGUGGACCUCAGCCAUGGUGGGGAAACCUAAUUUUUGUCUCAGUCCUUUGACUGAAUCAAUGUUGUCUUGAUGGAGGAACUUGCUCUUGUGGUCAGGUGGAAGAAAGCUGGAAUUAGGAUGUUUAACCUGAGAGCUCUUUUCUGUGAAGAAACAGGAAACAAAUCUGGAGGGAAACACUCAGAAAAGAGGAAAAUAGGACAAUGAAGGAGCUAUGCAAGGUCCCUCUGGACCAUAUGAGGUCCAUCCUGGGAAAAUGCAGGAGCUUUGGGAAUGCAGCAUCUCAUCUCAAGAAAGAAUGGCCACAGGAUGAGGUGAGCUUUGGAGAUAGUUGUGACUGUGCUACAAGCCUGAGGUGCCAAUUUAAAUUUAACUUUUUUCCCCUAGAAGUGAGCAAUGCCUAGAGUUUUCAGCCUCCUGCAGAUGAAAAACAAUAAAGAGAUUCUACAGGGACGCAUCUUGGUAGGACUAGAAAGGUGCUUUUUCCAUAUUGCUGAUCUCUGAGGGAAUUGUUCCAGUAUAAGGUAGGUUCUGAGGCACAAAUGAUUUUCAUUUUUUUCAGCUCUAUUUUGGUUGUUAUGGCUGAGCACAAAUAGGGCUCAGCAGGGCCAUUUGGUGGAGCUGCCAUAGGCUUGAGCAUUCCUCAUAGCAACACUGCAGCGGUCUGUGUGAUGAGCACCACAAACUGUAAUGCCAGGUAGAGCAAAUGGAACUCAGAGCUGAAAAUUAAAUAUUUUUAAUUAAAAUCCACAUCUGCAAGCCACUUGCUGAGAGGCAGGGCUUGGCUGCUGAGUUCUGCUGCCACGCUGGGAUCACCAGGACCAGAGAUGGCAAUUCCAGAGAGGCAGCCAGCCGAUCUCAUGGGCUAAUAUUUAAAAAGGUGCUGGUGCCCAAUG